GCAGUUUGCGGUGCCCGUGAACACCCCUCUGGUACCUAUGCUAGCUCAGUUGUUUUGCUUUUUAGUUUUUACAUAAAAAUAGAAGCACACCCAAUCACGCCCUCCAGGAUGGACUCUCAGAAAUUCUGCCUCAAAUGGGACUGGUUCCAGGACAGCGUCACGUCUGUGUUUGACCAGCUCUGCUCCGGAGGGGAGCUGCUGGACGUCACGCUCUGCUGUGAGGGACAGCGUGUCUGGGCCCACAGGAUGAUGCUGUCUGCCUGCAGUCUGUACUUCAGGGAACUGCUAAAGGCUCGGCGGCUAAUGCUCCGGGCUCCUUACCAAUGACGGAGGAGGGUCCUUCUCUCCGCCUCUGAGGGAGCUCACUGAACUACCCUCUCGCCCCGCGCCAUCUGCGCCGUCCUCACCGCCGGCCGACCCGACCAACGAGAAUGACACAGACGCCCUCCGGCACUGCUGGCAGAGGAAACUGAAGGAGAGCGUCGCUGCCAGACUACCCGAGGGCACCUACCUGCACCAGCCGCCGUCCCGGUACAUUUUCCCCGUAGCGGAGGUGCUGGUCGAUCCUGACGACUCGGACAGUGACAGAGAUUCGCUGGACUCGGACCGCGGCAGCGACGAUGAGUAUGUGACCGCUGACGACCAUCUGGACCACUCCUCGGACACUCCAGAGACGGGCGUCACGCCUCCGACUCCUGUCCUCCAACGCCUCCUGGACGAACUGCAACCUCUGGAGCAUCAUCAGGAGCACCGGGAACGUCUUCUUCAUCACCGGCUGCAGUGAAGACUUCAGCUACGCCGACGGUGAACCCUUCUUCGACAUCGGAUAUCGAGGUGGAGCCAGAAACGGUGGGUUCGCCGGGCUCAGCCCUGAAAAGGCCGAUCAGUGAAACACUAGGUGGAGAGGAGGGGAGCGGUGUGAAGAGACCGGCGUUUGGUGGCGGAGGUGAGCCUGGCGUGUCUCCCGCCACCGCCAAAACCACCCCCGCCGCCGCCGCCGCUGGAGACAGUGGUGGUGCGCAGAGUGCGUCGGAAAAUACUACCGGCGCAGCUGCGGCAAUCAGCUAAUCUACCGCUUCGGGAUUCGGUAGAACACACCGAAGUUGGGUUCAGAUUAGUGACUUUUCACGUGAAUACCUACACUGGAUGGUGACCAUAAAGAUCUAUUUUCAUACAGUGUCUAUCAGUGUGCGUUAAAUAGCGUUGUGUCCUGUGAAUAGUGCAGUUAGACUGAGUUUGGAACCAGGAAGUGGAAAUCAUGAAUCCGACCGAUUCGGUUAGAAAUCAAUAAUGUGAACUGUUGUGGAGCUAUGAGCCAAUGCCCAAUGGUGAGCUAAUUUAGGGCUACGAGCUCCAUGGAGCUAUGAGCCAGUGGUUAGGUUCAUUGAGAUUUCAGCCAGUGGUGAGCUAAUUUGUAGCUCGGGAUGAGCUAAUUGGAGAAUCUGUUGACCAGGGAUGAGCUAUAUGAACCAGUGGUGAGCUAUCCUGGAGCCCUGAACCAGUGUUGAGCUGAUUAUUAAUCCCCUUUGUCGGCAAGUAGCCGAACACGCCAGGCGCGGAUACAAGGGGGGGGGCCAUGGGGGCCAUGGCCCCCCCCCCUUGGCCGAUUUUUUUUCAAAAAUAAAAUAAAAAGUUAAAAAGCUGAAAAGGGGGCCUCCUGAAAAUAAAGUGGCCGAAAUCCGAUGAGUUUUUUUUUAACCUACCCACUUAGUUAUUUCUUAGAAGACUAGCUGAGAAGACUUCUUUGUUAGAAGAUUGGUAAAGCUUUUCAUAACUUGGAGGUCUCUUAUACUCACAGAGAUGACCACUUUUACAGGGCCUCCUAACCUGCACAGAGGGCCUCCAAGCCUGCACAGAUGUUGAGAUGUUGCCUGAACAGCUAGAUAAGCUCAAUAGACGCAGUUUUUUUUGGGGGGGGGCCAACAAGUGGGAAGAUGGGGCCUCCAACAGGUGGGAUUAUGGGGGGGGGCCUCCUGGUUUCUAAUGGCCCCUCCCUUGGAGAUUUUCUGGAUCCGCCCCUGGAACACGCACCCACCAGAUAACCAAUUUUAUUCGUGACAUCAUGAAACACCGGAAGUUUCUUUUUUCUUCAGUUCUUCGCUUCAGUCUAAUCAUGUGUUUCAGAAUAAAAAGAACCAUUUCAUCUAUCGUUAUUGGUGAUCGAUUUUAUUUUUCCAUUUAUAACCGCUCACCUUUCAAAGUAAUGGCAUGUUUUAGAUACAUGCAUGCGUUACUUUCAAUUCAGAUGAUAUUUGAUCGGAAAUGAGAUCAUUUGAUCGCGCCCGAUGUAGCUGAACCUACAAUUUUCUCUUUAUCAAAGGUCAGGAGCAGGGCCUCGGCUAACAUGUUAAC
RNAcentral lists this long non-coding RNA (2352 nucleotides) under Amphibalanus amphitrite. Its description in RNAcentral is "uncharacterized LOC122390094". The record is from RNAcentral. Lineage: Eukaryota; Metazoa; Arthropoda; Thecostraca; Balanomorpha; Balanidae.